This 427-nucleotide ribosomal RNA is filed under the name uncultured bacterium. RNAcentral describes it as "partial 16S ribosomal RNA". It matches the Rfam family "Bacterial small subunit ribosomal RNA", at positions 354 to 796 of the family's 1533-position model. The record is from RNAcentral.
GUGGGGAAUCUUGCGCAAUGGGCGAAAGCCUGACGCAGCAACGCCGCGUGCGGGAUGACGGCCUUCGUGGUUGUAAACCGCUUUCAGCAGGGACGAAAAUGACGGUACCUGCAGAAGAAGCCCCGGCUAACUACGUGCCAGCAGCCGCGGUAAUACGUAGGGGGCAAGCGUUGUCCGGAAUCAUUGGGCGUAAAGAGCUCGUAGGCGGUUCAGUAAGUCGGGUGUGAAAGCUCCGAGCUCAACUCGGAGAGGCCACUCGAUACUGCUGUGACUAGAAUCCAGUAGGGGAGUGUGGAAUUCCUGGUGUAGCGGUGAAAUGCGCAGAUAUCAGGAGGAACACCGGCGGCGAAGGCGGCACUCUGGGCUGGUAUUGACGCUGAGGAGCGAAAGUGUGGGUAGCAAACAGGAUUAGAAACCCCGGUAGUCC